This 490-nucleotide ribosomal RNA is filed under the name uncultured bacterium. Its description in RNAcentral is "partial 16S ribosomal RNA". It matches the Rfam family "Bacterial small subunit ribosomal RNA", at positions 30 to 507 of the family's 1533-position model. The record is from RNAcentral.
AUUGAACGCUGGCGGCAGGCCUAACACAUGCAAGUCGAACGGUAACAGGAAGCAGCUUGCUGCUUCGCUGACGAGUGGCGGACGGGUGAGUAAUGUCUGGGAAACUGCCUGAUGGAGGGGGAUAACUACUGGAAACGGUAGCUAAUACCGCAUAACGUCGCAAGACCAAAGAGGGGGACCUUAGGGCCUCUUGCCAUCGGAUGUGCCCAGAUGGGAUUAGCUAGUAGGUGGGGUAACGGCUCACCUAGGCGACGAUCCCUAGCUGGUCUGAGAGGAUGACCAGCCACACUGGAACUGAGACCCGGUCCAGACUCCUACGGGAGGCAGCAGUGGGGAAUAUUGCACAAUGGGCGCAAGCCUGAUGCAGCCAUGCCGCGUGUAUGAAGAAGGCCUUCGGGUUGUAAAGUACUUUCAGCGGGGAGGAAGGGAGUAAAGUUAAUACCUUUGCUCAUUGACGUUACCCGCAGAAGAAGCACCGGCUAACUCCGUG